AACGUAGGAGGCGAGCGUUAUCCGGAUUUACUGGGUGUAAAGCGCAUGCAGGCGGUCAGCUAAGAUGGGUGUGAAAGCUCCUGGCUCAACUGGGAGAGGUCGCUCAAGACUGGCUGACUAGAGGCUGGGAGAGGAAAGUGGAAUUCCGGGUGUAGUGGUGAAAUGCGUAGAUAUCCGGAGGAACACCAGUGGCGAAAGCGGCUUUCUGGACCACGCCUGACGCUCAGAUGCGACAGCUAGGGGAGCAAACGGG
Molecule: ribosomal RNA, 253 nt
Filed under: uncultured bacterium
Lineage: Bacteria
Description: partial 16S ribosomal RNA
Rfam family: Bacterial small subunit ribosomal RNA
Source: RNAcentral